GAUGAACGCUGGCGGCGUGCCUAAUACAUGCAAGUCGAGCGAACAGACGAGGAGCUUGCUCCUCUGACGUUAGCGGCGGACGGGUGAGUAACACGUGGAUAACCUACCUAUAAGACUGGGAUAACUUCGGGAAACCGGAGCUAAUACCGGAUAAUAUAUUGAACCGCAUGGUUCAAUAGUGAAAGACGGUUUUGCUGUCACUUAUAGAUGGAUCCGCGCCGCAUUAGCUAGUUGGUAAGGUAACGGCUUACCAAGGCAACGAUGCGUAGCCGACCUGAGAGGGUGAUCGGCCACACUGGAACUGAGACACGGUCCAGACUCCUACGGGAGGCAGCAGUAGGGAAUCUUCCGCAAUGGGCGAAAGCCUGACGGAGCAACGCCGCGUGAGUGAUGAAGGUCUUCGGAUCGUAAAGCUCUGUUAUUAGGGAAGAACAAAUGUGUAAUUAACUAUGCACGUCUUGACGGUACCUAAUCAGAAAGCCCCGGCUAACUACGUG
RNAcentral lists this ribosomal RNA (497 nucleotides) under uncultured bacterium. Its description in RNAcentral is "partial 16S ribosomal RNA". It matches the Rfam family "Bacterial small subunit ribosomal RNA", at positions 28 to 507 of the family's 1533-position model. The record is from RNAcentral.